This 447-nucleotide ribosomal RNA is filed under the name uncultured bacterium. RNAcentral's name for it is "bacterial SSU rRNA". It matches the Rfam family "Bacterial small subunit ribosomal RNA", at positions 331 to 795 of the family's 1533-position model. The record is from RNAcentral.
CCAGACUCCUACGGGAGGCAGCAGUGGGGGAUAUUGCACAAUGGGGGGAACCCUGAUGCAGCGACGCCGCGUGGGUGAAGGAGUGCUUCGGCAUGUAAAGCCCUAUCGGCAGGGAAGAAGCAAGACGGUACCUGACUAAGAAGCCCCGGCUAACUACGUGCCAGCAGCCGCGGUAAUACGGAGGAUGCGAGCGUUAUCCGGAUUUAUUGGGUUUAAAGGGUGCGUAGGCGGGACGGUAAGUCAGCGGUAAAAAUGCGGAGCUCAACUCCGUCGAGCCGUUGAAACUGCCGUUCUUGAGUGAGCGAGAAGUAUGCGGAAUGCGUGGUGUAGCGGUGAAAUGCAUAGAUAUCACGCAGAACUCCGAUUGCGAAGGCAGCAUACCGGCGCUCAACUGACGCUGAAGCACGAAGGCGUGGGUAUCGAACAGGAUUAGAUACCCGAGUAGUA